GCCCUGUGUAUGUGUGGGUGUGUGUGUGUAUGUAUGUGUAUGUGUGUGUAUGAGAGAGAGAGAGAGAGAGAGAGAGAGAGAGAGAGAGCUCAGCUCCUUUCUUUGUUUGACUGCUGAAUGGAGAAAAGCCAGAGAGAAAGAGAGAGUGUGUGAGCGAGAGAGAGAAAGAGAGAGAGAGUGAGGAAGGCAGUGAAGAGAAAGCAAGCAAAGGAGAGAAAGAGAGAGAGGAAGAAAGAAAGAAGGAGUGAGAGACAGUCAUAUAUACAUACAUAUGUGUGUUUGUUUGUGUGAGAGAGUGUGUGUAUAUUGAGGUGGAAUUCCAUCCGCCUCAUACUGAACUGUGUCAGCUUGUGCAUGGUUUGUGUUUUUGUGUGCAGCUGCCAGGGCUGUGUGUGCGUGUGUGUGCAUGCAUGCGCGUGUGUGAGAGAGAGAGAGGGGGUUUAAAGGGAAAAUAGAAGCGAGCAGAUUUGCUGAGCUGGACUGGGAGGCUGAGUUUUGCGACUGGCUGUGGAAUUACUGCCACUGGGACUAGCUCUGGAAACCACGAUCGAGUCGAGGAGCUUUGUGAGGACGAAGAAGGACAAGUUUAACACAGCAGAACUAGAGGUCAAGAUCUGCAGAGUUCAACGGAAUGAUCAGCUGCCAGAACUGAAG
Molecule: long non-coding RNA, 654 nt
Organism: Astyanax mexicanus (Mexican tetra)
Lineage: Eukaryota; Metazoa; Chordata; Actinopteri; Characiformes; Acestrorhamphidae
Exons: 3
Source: RefSeq, a predicted model, not a curated record